RNAcentral lists this ribosomal RNA (449 nucleotides) under uncultured bacterium. RNAcentral's name for it is "partial 16S ribosomal RNA". It matches the Rfam family "Bacterial small subunit ribosomal RNA", at positions 29 to 523 of the family's 1533-position model. The record is from RNAcentral.
AGCGAACGCUGGCGGCAGGCCUAACACAUGCAAGUCGAACGAAACCUUCGGGUUUAGUGGCGGACGGGUGAGUAACACGUGGGAACGUGUCCUUUGGUUCGGAACAACUCAGGGAAACUUGAGCUAAUACCGGAUGUGCCCUUCGGGGGAAAGAUUUAUCGCCAUUGGAGCGGCCCGCGUAGGAUUAGCUAGUUGGUGGGGUAAUGGUCCACCAAGGCUCCGAUCCUUAGCUGGUCUGAGAGGAUGAUCAGCCACACUGGGACUGAGACACGGCCCAGACUCCUACGGGAGGCAGCAGUGGGGAAUCUUGCGCAAUGGGCGAAAGCCUGACGCAGCCAUGCCGCGUGAAUGAUGAAGGUCUUAGGAUUGUAAAAUUCUUUCACCGGGGACGAUAAUGACGGUACCCGGAGAAGAAGCCCCGGCUAACUUCGUGCCAGCCGCCGCCGUAA